GCGAGCGACUCGACUCCGGAACUCGAGGAAGCCCCGCCCACGCCAAAGCCCCGCCCCGGACCUGGCUCAGCUCCGCCCCCGUCCCGCCCACGCCUCGUCCGACUUCGCGCAGGGCUGCGAAGCGCGAAGGUGCCGAGAAGAAACCGGAUCAACUUCUGUUACUACUGCUAAAACUCCGGAAAGGGUCAGAGCCGCCGAGUGGACGCCGCGUCUGCUGCGCGAUCUCCGGUGAUGGCGCGAAGGGUGACGUGUGGCAAGGAGGAACUCAGUUUGUGACCAGGGAAACUGAGUCACUGGAUGCCUGAGCAAAGAUGAUUUUGACAAGGGAAACAGGACUGUUCUCAUACCCUUCCCAAAUUCCCAGAGAACUGGAAAAGCCAGCGUGAGUGGUGAGAAAAUUGCCUGGAGCCAGGAAGAAACCAGUCCCAGAGGAAAACAGAACUGAAGUACUCGCCACCAUUGUGUAAUGAAGAAUCCUCAUUUUGGAAUAAGUGGAGUAAAUCCUAAACCAAACCCCUCUCUCCAAAGCACUCCCCUCCUUGGUUUCCCCCUUUCUCUGAAAGCUGACGGCCAAUGUCCAGCAGCAGAAGGCCACCCUCCUGUCUUGAUAUCCCCUCCUGGCCCACUCAGGAGUCUAAGGUCAGGACAAGUUACCUGUACA
Molecule: long non-coding RNA, 661 nt
Organism: Herpailurus yagouaroundi (jaguarundi)
Lineage: Eukaryota; Metazoa; Chordata; Mammalia; Carnivora; Felidae
Exons: 3
Source: RefSeq, a predicted model, not a curated record